AUUCUUGUUUUUUUCUGCUGAGGCUCUAGAGGGACACCUGUCAGACUGACCAAGGCCGAAGAUGGCUCCCUACCAGAGAGAUUCAACUGAGGGCUUGCGAUAGGUCUUGUGACAUUGCUAUUGAUCUUGAGACAUUCAUCUGAAGCAUGAUUGUCACUGGCUUCAAACUUUCCUCAUCAUAAGAGAGGGACUGGGUCUACUUCAAAUGUUUCGCACUAAUGAAGUUAACAUUCCCUUUCAUGGUGAGCUCUGCCCUCAUCAUGAGACCAUGCCCAGGCUAGUCUGCUGGAAGGAAGUCAGAGGCACACGGAAGAGAGCCACAUUCAGCCAAGGCCAUUCUAGACCAGUUGUUCCCUGUCACUUCACUAAUUGGCCACAGCACAAGGUACACGGAUGGAGCUGGAAGCCAUUAUCCUCAGCAAACUAAUGUAGGAACAGAAAACCAAAUAUUGCAUGUUCUUACUUAUAAGUGGGAGCUGAACAACGAGAACACAUGGACACAGGGAGGGAAACAACACACACUGGGGCCUGUCCAGCAGUAAGGUUGAGGCAGGGAAAGCAUUAGGAAAAAUAGCUAUGCAUGCUGGGCUGAAUACUGGGUGAUGGAUUGAUAGGUGCAGCAAACCACCAUGGCAUAUGUUUACCUUUGUAAGAAACCAGCACAUCCUGCACAUGUACCCUGGAACUUAAAAUAAAAAUUAAAAUGUUUUUUAAAAAAGUCAUGAUGUUUUCUCAGCAGCCCAGUUUACUUUUCCAGACCCCUCUGGCAUGUGUUACUCCAGAAAAAGGCCGGUGUGUGUGAA
Molecule: long non-coding RNA, 803 nt
Filed under: Homo sapiens (human)
Lineage: Eukaryota; Metazoa; Chordata; Mammalia; Primates; Hominidae
Description: non-protein coding lnc-CD44-7:10
Source: RNAcentral